UUCCUACGGGGGGCAGCAGUCGAGAAUCUUCCGCAAUGGGCGCAAGCCUGACGGAGCAAUGCCGCGUGAGGGAUGAAGGCCUUCGGGUUGUAAACCUCUGUCAGAGGGGACGAAGAAUGUGACGGUACCCUCAGAGGAAGCCACGGCUAACUACGUGCCAGCAGCCGCGGUAAUACGUAGGUGGCGAGCGUUAUUCGGAUUCACUGGGCGUAAAGGGUCCGUAGGGGGUCUGCCAAGUCCGAUGUGAAAGCCCACGGCUCAACUGUGGAACGGCAUUGGAUACUGGCGGGCUGGAGUCUGCGAGGGGUGAGCGGAAUUCCUGGUGUAGCGGUGGAAUGCGUAGAUAUCAGGAAGAACACCGAUGGCGAAGGCGGCUCACUGGCGCAGUACUGACCCUGAGGGACGAAAGCGUGGGUAGCAAACAGGAUUAGAUACCCUAGUAGUCGA
This 447-nucleotide ribosomal RNA is filed under the name uncultured bacterium. Its description in RNAcentral is "bacterial SSU rRNA". It matches the Rfam family "Bacterial small subunit ribosomal RNA", at positions 336 to 797 of the family's 1533-position model. The record is from RNAcentral.